Molecule: ribosomal RNA, 465 nt
Filed under: uncultured bacterium
Lineage: Bacteria
Description: partial 16S ribosomal RNA
Rfam family: Bacterial small subunit ribosomal RNA
Source: RNAcentral
CCUACGGGAGGCAGCAGUAGGGAAUCUUCCACAAUGGGCGAAAGCCUGAUGGAGCAACGCCGCGUGGGUGAAGAAGGUCUUCGGAUCGUAAAACCCUGUUGUUAGAGAAGAAAGUGCGUGAGAGUAACUGUUCACGUUUCGACGGUAUCUAACCAGAAAGCCACGGCUAACUACGUGCCAGCAGCCGCGGUAAUACGUAGGUGGCAAGCGUUAUCCGGAUUUAUUGGGCGUAAAGGGAACGCAGGCGGUCUUUUAAGUCUGAUGUGAAAGCCUUCGGCUUAACCGGAGUAGUGCAUUGGAAACUGGGAGACUGGAGUGCAGAAGAGGAGAGUGGAACUCCAUGUGUAGCGGUGAAAUGCGUAGAUAUAUGGAAGAACACCAGUGGCGAUAGCGGCUCUCUGGUCUGUAACUGACGCUGAGGUUCGAAAGCGUGGGUAGCAAACAGGAUUAGAUACCCGAGUAGUC